UUUCCCAUUUUUUUGCUGCUGUAAUCCCUUGGUGAUAUGAGCAGUUAUACGCGUGGGAUAAAGUAAAAUAGGCCAUUGUAAAUUGAGGUGAAAUACAUUUCAUCUUUUUGCAUGGUCUAGACAUUG
Molecule: small nucleolar RNA, 126 nt
Organism: Dipodomys ordii (Ord's kangaroo rat)
Lineage: Eukaryota; Metazoa; Chordata; Mammalia; Rodentia; Heteromyidae
Source: Ensembl